Molecule: ribosomal RNA, 557 nt
Filed under: uncultured bacterium
Lineage: Bacteria
Description: partial 16S ribosomal RNA
Rfam family: Bacterial small subunit ribosomal RNA
Source: RNAcentral
UGGGGAAUUUUGGACAAUGGGGGCAGCCCUGAUCCAGCAAUGCCGCGUGUGUGAAGAAGGCCUUCGGGUUGUAAAGCACUUUUGUCCGGAAAGAAAACGCCGUGGUUAAUACCCGUGGCGGAUGACGGUACCGGAAGAAUAAGCACCGGCUAACUACGUGCCAGCAGCCGCGGUAAUACGUAGGGUGCAAGCGUUAAUCGGAAUUACUGGGCGUAAAGCGUGCGCAGGCGGUCCGCUAAGACAGAUGUGAAAUCCCCGGGCUUAACCUGGGAACUGCAUUUGUGACUGGCGGGCUAGAGUAUGGCAGAGGGGGGUAGAAUUCCACGUGUAGCAGUGAAAUGCGUAGAGAUGUGGAGGAAUACCGAUGGCGAAGGCAGCCCCCUGGGCCAAUACUGACGCUCAUGCACGAAAGCGUGGGGAGCAAAACAGGAUUCAGAUACCCUGGUAGUCCACGCCCUAAACGAUGUCAAACUAGUUGUCGGGUCUUCAUUGACUUGGUAACGUAGCUAACGCGUGAAGUUGACCGCCUGGGGAGUACGGUCGCAAGAUUAAAACUC